This 252-nucleotide ribosomal RNA is filed under the name uncultured bacterium. RNAcentral describes it as "partial 16S ribosomal RNA". It matches the Rfam family "Bacterial small subunit ribosomal RNA", at positions 524 to 776 of the family's 1533-position model. The record is from RNAcentral.
UACGUAGGGGGCUAGCGUUAUCCGGAAUUACUGGGCGUAAAGGGUGCGUAGGUGGUUUCUUAAGUCAGAGGUGAAAGGCUACGGCUCAACCGUAGUAAGCCUUUGAAACUGGGGAACUUGAGUGCAGGAGAGGAGAGUAGAAUUCCUAGUGUAGCGGUGAAAUGCGUAGAUAUUAGGAGGAAUACCAGUUGCGAAGGCGGCUCUCUGGACUGUAACUGACACUGAGGCACGAAAGCGUGGGGAGCAAACAGG